Molecule: ribosomal RNA, 241 nt
Filed under: Osedax sp. 'Mediterranea'
Lineage: Eukaryota; Metazoa; Annelida; Polychaeta; Sabellida; Siboglinidae
Description: partial 16S ribosomal RNA
Rfam family: Bacterial large subunit ribosomal RNA
Source: RNAcentral
UUAUAUGAAAUUUUUGUUGGGGCGACAUAAGAAACUCUAUGACUUCUUAAUAUUUAUUUAGAGGAAUCUCUCGAUUCAAUUGACCUAAUUAUAAUUAAUCAAUAGCAAUAGCUACCAUAGGGAUAACAGACUAAUUUUUCUCCAGAGCUCAAAUUCACAGAAAAGAUUGGCACCUCGAUGUUGGCUUAGAGGCCCCCUAUGAUGCAGCAGUCAUAAAUGGUGGGUUUGUUCAACCCUUAAA